AUACUAAGGCGAUCGAGAGAACUGUGGUUAAGGAACUCGGCAAAUUGCCCCCGUAACUUCGGGAGAAGGGGGACCAUUUCUGGUGACGACUUUUUCGGUCUGAGCUGGGGGUGGUCGCAGAGACCAGAGAGAAGCGACUGUUUACUAAAAACACAGGUCCGUGCGAAGUCGUAAGACGAUGUAUACGGACUGACGCCUGCCCGGUGCUGGAAGGUUAAGAGGACCGGUUAGUCAACUUUGUUGGCGAAGCUGAGAAUUUAAGCCCCAGUAAACGGCGGUGGUAACUAUAACCAUCCUAAGGUAGCGAAAUUCCUUGUCGGGUAAGUUCCGACCUGCACGAAUGGCGUAACGACUUCUCUGCUGUCUCAACCACAGACUCGGCGAAGUUGCAGUACGAGUAAAGAUGCUCGUUACGCGCGGCAGGACGAAAAGACACCGGGACCUUCACUAUAGCUUGGUAUUGGUGUUCGGUACGGUUUGUGUAGGAUAGGUGGGAGACUGUGAAGUGGGCACGCUAGUGUUCGUGGAGUCGUUGUUGAAAUACCACUCUGAUCGUAUUGGGCUUCUAACCUCGGACCCUGAUCGGGUUCAGGGACAGUGCCUGGUGGGUAGUUUAACUGGGGCGGUUGCCUCCUAAAAUGUAACGGAGGCGCCCAAAGGUUCCCUCAGCCUGGAUGGCAAUCAGGUGUUGAGUGUAAGUGCACAAGGGAGCUUGACUGUGAGACGUACAUGUCGAGCAGGGACGAAAGUCGGGACUAGUGAUCCGGCACCGGCAAGUGGAAGCGGUGUCGCUCAACGGAUAAAAGGUACCCCGGGGAUAACAGGCUGAUCUUCCCCAAGAGUCCAUAUCGACGGGAUGGUUUGGCACCUCGAUGUCGGCUCGUCGCAUCCUGGGGCUGGAGUAGGUCCCAAGGGUUGGGCUGUUCGCCCAUUAAAGCGGCACGCGAGCUGGGUUUAGAACGUCGUGAGACAGUUCGGUCUCUAUCCGCCGCGCGCGUCUAGAAACUUGAGGAAACCUGUCCCUAGUACGAGAGGACCGGGACGGACGAACCUCUGGUGUGCCAGUUGUUCCGCCAGGAGCACUGCUGGUUAGCUACGUUCGGAAGGGAUAACCGCUGAAAGCAUCUAAGCGGGAAGCCUGUUCCAAGAUGAGGUUUCCCACCCACCCUUGUGGUGGGGUAAGGCCCCCUACAGACCAUGGGGUUGAUAGGCCAGAACUGUAAGCACAGUAAUGUGUUCAGGUGACUGGUACUAAUCGGCCGAGGACUUACUC
RNAcentral lists this ribosomal RNA (1273 nucleotides) under metagenome. RNAcentral's name for it is "bacterial LSU rRNA". It matches the Rfam family "Bacterial large subunit ribosomal RNA", at positions 1678 to 2925 of the family's 2925-position model. The record is from RNAcentral.